AGAGUUUGAUCAUGGCUCAGGACAAACGCUGGCGGCGUGCAUAAAACAUGCAAGUCGAACGGACCUCAGUCCGCAAGGACUGAAGUGAGUGGCGAACGGCUGAGUAACACGUAGGUGACCUGCCCCGAAGUUUGGGAUAACACCUCGAAAGAGGUGCUAAUACCGGAUGUGACCACCGAUUCAUUUCGGUGCUUAAAGUCGCAAGACGCUUUGGGAGGAGCCUGCGGCGGAUUAGCUAGUUGGUGUGGUAACGGCACACCAAGGCUUCGAUCCGUAGCUGGUCUGAGAGGAUGGCCAGCCAGACUGGGACUGAGACACGGCCCAGACUCCUACGGGAGGCAGCAGUUAGGAAUUUUGCGCAAUGGAGGAAACUCUGACGCAGCCACGCCGCGUGAGGGAUGAAGGCCUUCGGGUCGUAAACCUCUUUUCUCAGGGAAGACACCCGACGGUACCUGAGGAAUAAGCAACGGCUAACUACGUGCCAGCAGCCGCGGUAAUACGUAGGUUGCGAGCGUUGUCCGGAUUUACUGGGCGUAAAGCGCGCGCAGGCGGUCCUGAAAGUCGAACGUGAAAGCUCCCGGCCCAACUGGGAGAGGCCGUUCGAAACUUCAGGACUUGAAGGCGGGAGAGGCAAAUGGAAUUUCCGGUGUAGCGGUAAAAUGCGUAGAUACCGGAAGGAACACCAGUGGCGAAAGCGAUUUGCUGGCCCGCCCUUGACGCUCAGGCGCGAAAGCUAGGGGAGCGACCGGGAUUAGAUACCCCGUUAGUCCUAGCCGUAAACAAUGGGCACUAGGUGUUGUCGGUAUCGACCCCGGCAGUGCCGAAGCUAACGCAUUAAGUGCCCCGCCUGGGGAGUACGACCGCAAGGUUAAAACUCAAAGGAAUUGACGG
RNAcentral lists this ribosomal RNA (891 nucleotides) under uncultured bacterium. Its description in RNAcentral is "bacterial SSU rRNA". It matches the Rfam family "Bacterial small subunit ribosomal RNA", at positions 8 to 916 of the family's 1533-position model. The record is from RNAcentral.